This 629-nucleotide ribosomal RNA is filed under the name Enterococcus faecium. RNAcentral describes it as "bacterial SSU rRNA". It matches the Rfam family "Bacterial small subunit ribosomal RNA", at positions 872 to 1503 of the family's 1533-position model. The record is from RNAcentral. Lineage: Bacteria; Bacillati; Bacillota; Bacilli; Lactobacillales; Enterococcaceae.
CCUGGGGAGUACGGUCGCAAGAUUAAAACUCAAAGGAAUUGACGGGGACCCGCACAAGUAGCGGAGCAUGUGGUUUAAUUCGAAGCAACGCGAAGAACCUUACCUACACUUGACAUCCCUUGCAUUACUCUUAAUCGAGGAAAUCCUUUCGGGGACAAGGUGACAGGUGGUGCAUGGUUGUCGUCAGCUCGUGUCGUGAGAUGUUGGGUUAAGUCCCGCAACGAGCGCAACCCUUGUCGUUAGUUACUACCAUUAAGUUGAGGACUCUAGCGAGACUGCCUGGGUUAACCAGGAGGAAGGUGGGGAUGACGUCAAAUCAUCAUGCCCCUUAUGUGUAGGGCUACACACGUGCUACAAUGGCUGGUACAGAGAGAUGCAAUACCGCGAGGUGGAGCCAAACUUAAAAACCAGUCUCAGUUCGGAUUGUAGGCUGAAACUCGCCUACAUGAAGCUGGAGUUACUAGUAAUCGCGAAUCAGAAUGUUGCGGUGAAUACGUUCCCGGGUCUUGUACACACCGCCCGUCACACCAUGAGAGUUGGCAAUACCCGAAGUCCGUGAGCUAACCGCAAGGAGGCAGCGGCCGAAGGUAGGGUCAGCGAUUGGGGUGAAGUCGUAACAAGGUAGCCGU